AGUAAUGUAUGGGGAUCUGCCCGAUAGAGGGGAUAACUACUGGAAACGGUGGCUAAUACCGCAUAAUGUCUACGGACCAAAGCAGGGGCUCUUCGGACCUUGCACUAUCGGAUGAACCCAUAUGGGAUUAGCUAGUAGGUGGGGUAAAGGCUCACCUAGGCGACGAUCUCUAGCUGGUCUGAGAGGAUGAUUAGCCACACUGGGACUGAGACACGGCCCAG
RNAcentral lists this ribosomal RNA (221 nucleotides) under uncultured bacterium. Its description in RNAcentral is "partial 16S ribosomal RNA". It matches the Rfam family "Bacterial small subunit ribosomal RNA", at positions 109 to 334 of the family's 1533-position model. The record is from RNAcentral.